AGGGUUUGAUCAUGGCUCAGGAUGAACGCUGGCGGCGUGCUUAACACAUGCAAGUCGAACGAACCUUCGGGUUAGUGGCGGACGGGUGAGUAACGCGUGAGAAUCUGCCCUCAGGAGGGGGAUAACGGUUGGAAACGACCGCUAAUACCCCAUAUGCCUACUGGUGAAACGAAUUUCGCCUGAGGAUGAGCUCGCGUCUGAUUAGCUAGUUGGUGAGGUAAUGGCUCACCAAGGCUUCGAUCAGUAGCUGGUCUGAGAGGAUGAUCAGCCACACUGGGACUGAGACACGGCCCAGACUCCUACGGGAGGCAGCAGUGGGGAAUUUUCCGCAAUGGGCGAAAGCCUGACGGAGCAACGCCGCGUGAGGGACGAAGGCCUCUGGGCUGUAAACCUCUUUUCUCAAGGAAGAAGAUAUGACGGUACUUGAGGAAUAAGCCACGGCUAAUUCCGUGCCAGCAGCCGCGGUAAUACGGGAGUGGCAAGCGUUAUCCGGAAUUAUUGGGCGUAAAGCGUCCGCAGGCGGCUUUUCAAGUCUGCUGUUAAAACGUGGAGCUUAACUCCAUCAUGGCAGUGGAAACUGAAAGGCUUGAGUAUGGUAGGGGCAGAGGGAAUUCCCGGUGUAGCGGUGAAAUGCGUAGAUAUCGGGAAGAACACCAGUGGCGAAGGCGCUCUGCUGGGCCAUUACUGACGCUCAUGGACGAAAGCCAGGGGAGCGAAAGGGAUUAGAUACCCCUGUAGUCCUGGCCGUAAACGAUGAACACUAGGUGUCGGGGGAAUCGACCCCUUCGGUGUCGUAGCUAACGCGUUAAGUGUUCCGCCUGGGGAGUACGCACGCAAGUGUGAAACUCAAAGGAAUUGACGGGGGCCCGCACAAGCGGUGGAGUAUGUGGUUUAAUUCGAUGCAACGCGAAGAACCUUACCAGGGUUUGACAUCCUGCGAACCUCUUAGAAAUUUGAGGGUGCCUUCGGGAAUGCAGUGACAGGUGGUGCAUGGCUGUCGUCAGCUCGUGUCGUGAGAUGUUGGGUUAAGUCCCGCAACGAGCGCAACCCACGUUUUUAGUUGCCAGCAUUUAGUUGGGCACUCUAGAAAGACCGCCGGUGAUAAACCGGAGGAAGGUGUGGAUGACGUCAAGUCAUCAUGCCCCUUACACCCUGGGCUACACACGUACUACAAUGCUACGGACAAAGGGCAGCAAACUCGCGAGAGCUAGCAAAUCCCAUAAACCGUGGCUCAGUUCAGAUCGUAGGCUGCAACUCGCCUACGUGAAGUAGGAAUCGCUAGUAAUCGCAGGUCAGCAUACUGCGGUGAAUACGUUCCCGGGCCUUGUACACACCGCCCGUCACACCAUGGAAGUUGGCCAUGCCCGAAGUCGUUACUCCAACCCUUGUGGAGGAGGACGCCGAAGGUGGGGCUAAUGACUGGGGUGAAGUCAUAACAAGGUAACCGUA
This 1449-nucleotide ribosomal RNA is filed under the name uncultured bacterium. RNAcentral's name for it is "bacterial SSU rRNA". It matches the Rfam family "Bacterial small subunit ribosomal RNA". The record is from RNAcentral.